AUGGCAGCGCGGAGGUGGCUCCUCUGGCCGGGAGGGACCACGCUGGAGCAAUUCAAGGAGUGGCUGAAGCAGUUCGACCUGGACGACGGCGACGGCCGGAUCAGCAAGGCGGAGCUCCGCCAGGCCAUCCGCCGCCGGGGCUGCUGGUUCGCCACCCUCAGGGCUGGCCGAGCCCUCCGCCACGCCUACAGGGACAAGAGCGGCUACAUUGAAGACGCCGAGAUUGAGAAUGCAGAAAGACCUCGGCAUGAAGAUCUCUGCCUGUGA
RNAcentral lists this ribosomal RNA (267 nucleotides) under Triticum aestivum (bread wheat). Its description in RNAcentral is "partial small subunit ribosomal RNA". Lineage: Eukaryota; Viridiplantae; Streptophyta; Magnoliopsida; Poales; Poaceae. The record is from RNAcentral.